This 443-nucleotide ribosomal RNA is filed under the name uncultured bacterium. RNAcentral describes it as "partial 16S ribosomal RNA". It matches the Rfam family "Bacterial small subunit ribosomal RNA", at positions 338 to 795 of the family's 1533-position model. The record is from RNAcentral.
CCUACGGGCGGCAGCAGUGGGGAAUAUUGGGCAAUGGAGGCAACUCUGACCCAGCAACGCCGCGUGAGUGAUGACGGUCCUCGGAUUGUAAAACUCUUUAAGUGGGGACGAAGAAAGUGCCUGUACCCACAGACUAUGCUUCCGCUAACUACGUGACAGCAGCCGCGGUAAUACGUAGGAGGCAAGCGUUAUCCGGAAUGACUGGGCGUAAAGGGUGCGUAGGUGGUUCGGCAAGGUAGUAGCGUAAUUCCGGGGCGCAACCUGGGAACUGCAACUAAAACUGUUGGGCUUGAGUGCAGGAGAGGGAGGUGGAAUUCCUAGUGUAGCGGUGGAAUGCGUAGAUAUGAGGAAGAACACCGAUGGCGAAGGCAGUAUGCUGGACUGCAACUGACACUGAGGCACGAAAGCGUGGGGAGCAAACAGGAUUAGAUACCCGUGUAGUC